UGUUUCUACCCAGAACUCUCUUGCCUC
RNAcentral lists this non-coding RNA (27 nucleotides) under Mus musculus (house mouse). The record is from RNAcentral. Lineage: Eukaryota; Metazoa; Chordata; Mammalia; Rodentia; Muridae.